This 21-nucleotide non-coding RNA is filed under the name Arabidopsis thaliana (thale cress). The record is from RNAcentral. Lineage: Eukaryota; Viridiplantae; Streptophyta; Magnoliopsida; Brassicales; Brassicaceae.
CGACUUCAGGAACCCUUUUGU